AUGGCGUCGCUGCAGCUGCAAGCUGUCGCUGCCGUCCUGGCUCUCGUGGCCGGCGCCGGUGCCGCGCACAGCUUCGAGUUCCACGAGGCCACCGUCGAAGCCAUCCAGCUAGGGUUCAGCAACGGGACUCUGACCUCCACGGCGCUCGUCCGGUUCUACCUGGAUCAGAUCGGCCGCCUCAACCCGCUGCUGCACGCCGUCAUCGAGGUGAACCCGGACGCGCUCCGGCAGGCCAAGCAUGCCGACGCCGAGCGCCGCCGCGGCACGGCCACCGGCUCGCUGCGCGGCGUCCCCGUCCUGCUCAAGGACAACAUCGCGACCCGUGACGCGCUCAACACCACGGCGGGGUCGCUGGCUCUCCUCGGCUCUGUGGUGAAGCGUGACGCCGGCGUGGCGGCUCGGCUCCGGCGUGCGGGCGCCGUGGUGCUCGGCAAGGCCAGCCUGUCCGAGUGGGCCAAUUUCCGCCCAGUCGAAGCCGGGUGGAGCGCCCGCGGCGGCCAGGCGCGGAACCCGUACGUGCUGUCGUCUACCCCGUGCGGGUCGAGCGCCGGGUCCGGCGUGGCCGUGGCGGCGAACAUGGCGGCCGUGACGCUCGGCACCGAGACCGACGGCUCCAUACUUUGCCCGUCGUCGUUCAACUCGGUUGUCGGCAUCAAGCCGACGUUGGGGUUGACCAGCCGGGCCGGCGUCGUCCCCAUCACCCCGUUGCAGGACACCGUCGGACCGAUGUGCCGGACGGUGUCGGACGCGGUGCACGUGCUGGAUGCCAUCGUCGGCUACGACGCGCAAGACGCCGCGGCCACCGGAGCGGCAUCCAAGUACAUCCCGCACGGCGGGUACACGCAGUUCCUAAAGAAAAACGGGCUAAAAGGCAAGAGGAUCGGCGUCCCCAAUGGCUUCUUCCAAGGAUAUGACCAGACGCAGUUGAAUACGUACAAGCAGCACCUCGCCACAAUGAGGAAACUUGGAGCAGUGGUGAUCGAGAAGCUGGACGUCGCUGCCAAUUUGACCGCUCUAUUCGUUGAGAUUUAUUCCAAGGAGGGGAUUGCGAUGCAGGCAGAGUUCAAACUGAGCAUAAACGCGUAUUUGGCAGACUUGGUCUACUCCCCGGUCCAUUCGCUAGCAGACAUCAUAGCUUUCAACAACAAGCAUCCUGUGGAGGAGAGGCUAAAAGAUUUCGGGCAGCCUGAUCUUAUCGCUGCCCAAAGCACAAACGGCAUUGGGCCUGUAGAGAGAGGCGCGAUCCGCCGCCUGAAGGAGCUGAACGCGAAUGGGCUAGAGAAGCUAAUGAUGGAGCGCCAAUUGGACGCGGUCGUGGCGCCUAACAGCGAUAUUUCUAGCCUUCUCGCCAUCAACGGCCACCCUGGCAUCGUUGUGCCGGCGGGGUACGACGAGAAGGGGUUCCCCUUCGGGAUAUGCUUCGGGGGGCUGCAGGGGUAUGAGCCGAGGUUGAUCGAGAUGGCCUAUUCUUUCGAGCAGGCUACCAAAGUGAGGAGGCCACCCAUGUUCAAGCCCUAG
RNAcentral lists this ribosomal RNA (1518 nucleotides) under Triticum aestivum (bread wheat). RNAcentral describes it as "partial small subunit ribosomal RNA". Lineage: Eukaryota; Viridiplantae; Streptophyta; Magnoliopsida; Poales; Poaceae. The record is from RNAcentral.